Molecule: ribosomal RNA, 407 nt
Filed under: uncultured bacterium
Lineage: Bacteria
Description: bacterial SSU rRNA
Rfam family: Bacterial small subunit ribosomal RNA
Source: RNAcentral
GACGAACGCUGGCGGCAUGCCUAACACAUGCAAGUCUAGGGGUAGCAAUACCACUGGCGCACGGGUGAGUAACACGUAGGUUAUCUGCCCCCAUCACAGACAUAACCCCGGGAAACCGGGGCUAAUAUCUGAUGAGGUCGCGAGAUCAAAGCUUCGGCGGAUGGGGAUGAGCCUGCGGCUGAUUAGCUAGUUGGUGAGGUAAUGGCUCACCAAGGCGACGAUCAGUAGCUGGUCUGAGAGGACGAACAGCCACACUGGAACUGAGACACGGUCCAGACUCCUACGGGAGGCAGCAGUGUGGAAUAUUGGUCAAUGGGAGCAAUCCUGAACCAGCAAUGCCGCGUGUGGGAUGACAGGGCUUCGCCUUGUAAACCACUGUCGGACGGGACGAAAGGAGGCCUCGGGCC